AUUGAACGCUGGCGGCAUGCCUUACACAUGCAAGUCGAACGGCAGCGCGGGGGCAACCUGGCGGCGAGUGGCGAACGGGUGAGUAAUAUAUCGGAACAUACCCUAGAGUGGGGGAUAACGUAGCGAAAGUUACGCUAAUACCGCAUACGCACUAAGGUGGAAAGUGGGGGAUCUUCGGACCUCAUGCUCAUGGAGUGGCCGAUAUCUGAUUAGCUAGUUGGUGAGGUAAAGGCUCACCAAGGCGACGAUCAGUAGCUGGUUUGAGAGAACGACCAGCCACACUGGAACUGAGACACGGUCCAGACUCCUACGGAGGCAGCAGUGGGGAAUUUUGGACAAUGGGGGCAACCCUGAUCCAGCAAUGCCGCGUGAGUGAAGAAGGCCUUCGG
RNAcentral lists this ribosomal RNA (389 nucleotides) under uncultured bacterium. RNAcentral's name for it is "bacterial SSU rRNA". It matches the Rfam family "Bacterial small subunit ribosomal RNA", at positions 30 to 421 of the family's 1533-position model. The record is from RNAcentral.